CGGUUGAUCCUGCCGGAGGCCACUGCUAUGGGGGUCCGACUAAGCCAUGCGAGUCAUGGGGCGCGCUCUGCGCGCACCGGCGGACGGCUCAGUAACACGUCGGUAACCUACCCUCGGGAGGGGGAUAACCCCGGGAAACUGGGGCUAAUCCCCCAUAGGCCUGAGGUACUGGAAGGUCCUCAGGCCGAAAGGGUCUUUGACCGCCCGAGGAUGGGCCGGCGGCCGAUUAGGUAGUUGGUGGGGUAACGGCCCACCAAGCCGAAGAUCGGUACGGGCCAUGAGAGUGGGAGCCCGGAGAUGGACACUGAGACACGGGUCCAGGCCCUACGGGGCGCAGCAGGCGCGAAACCUCCGCAAUGCGGGCAACCGCGACGGGGGGACCCCCAGUGCCGUGGCAUCGCCACGGCUUUUCCGGAGUGUAAAAAGCUCCGGGAAUAAGGGCUGGGCAAGGCCGGUGGCAGCCGCCGCGGUAAUACCGGCGGCCCGAGUGGUGGCCGCUAUUAUUGGGCCUAAAGCGUCCGUAGCCGGGCCCGUAAGUCCCUGGCGAAAUCCCACGGCUCAACCGUGGGGCUUGCUGGGGAUACUGCGGGCCUUGGGACCGGGAGAGGCCGGGGGUACCCCUGGGGUAGGGGUGAAAUCCUAUAAUCCCAGGGGGACCGCCAGUGGCGAAGGCGCCCGGCUGGAACGGGUCCGACGGUGAGGGACGAAGGCCAGGGGAGCGAACCGGAUUAGAUACCCGGGUAGUCCUGGCUGUAAAGGAUACGGGCUAGGUGUCGGGUGAGCUUCGAGCUCGCCCGGUGCCGAAGGGAAGCCGUUAAGCCCGCCGCCUGGGGAGUACGGCCGCAAGGCUGAAACUUAAAGGAAUUGGCGGGGGAGCAC
RNAcentral lists this ribosomal RNA (879 nucleotides) under uncultured euryarchaeote. RNAcentral's name for it is "bacterial SSU rRNA". It matches the Rfam family "Archaeal small subunit ribosomal RNA", at positions 5 to 879 of the family's 1478-position model. Lineage: Archaea; Methanobacteriati; Methanobacteriota. The record is from RNAcentral.